UUCGUUAAGAAUAAAAUGGGUUAUGCUUAUGAUUUGGGAGUUCAUUCUUCCCUUGAGCCGGUUAAGGAGGUUCAGCAUCUGUUGCUUAGAGAUUCUCUCAGUAUCUACGGUCCUAGGCAGUACUUGUUUUUUUGUGCUCUCGGGCUUUGACUGGUCAUUUUCUUACCAAAAAAAAAGAAAAAGAAAAUAUAUUUAGAUUUUUAAAUUUUUAUAUAUAGAGAAAAAAAUGGAUUAAUUGUAGAAGGAGAAGUAGGUUAUUUAUGUGAUGUGGGUAUAAAAUAUAUUUAAAAUUCAAGUGGCUGUUACAGAUCGAAGUUGACUGUUUCUCUUCUCACAUCCAGAAAUGAUAUUAAUCCAACACGUACAUGGCCCAUACACUUUGCCUUCCCUUCACAGGCUGCGUUGAGUUGGUUCCCUGUAUAAUUUCUCUUCUAGCAGACGCCACUUUCCCUCUCUGCAACCAAACCGCCCUCUACGUCAUUUCCCUUCUCUCUCUCUUCAGGAUUUAGCAGGUUUGCAACAGAUUAACAAUUGUCACCUCAAGGCAGGGUGAACGAUCCAGCAAGGUUGCAGGAUUGAGCCGUAGCGCUGAGACGGGGCAUGGCUGAUGGGUGCAACUCUUUCUUGAGGAGAGUAUUAGCUGGACAGCUGUGCCACUGGCUAAAUAAUGAUUACCAUUUUCAGAAUUGUUGUUACCAGUACAUCAUCUGUUUUGGAAGCUUUACAUUGUUCCAGAUGAGGACCUAAGACGGUUAAUGAGUUGGUUACAUAAAUUAUAAAGGCCGCCUGGGUUCACAUGCUUAUAUCCAUGAAGAAGUAUUUGAUCUAAUCGAGUAUUUUUACCACGCAUGAAAAAGCCAAUGAGAAGGAUUAAUACGAAGCUUCAAUUAGAAAAUAACAAAAAGAUUGUUGUCUUUAUAUUAGUUAGGAUCAGCAUGAAACCGAACUGCACCAUCUGCUCAUAUAACUAGUGGAUAAGGUAAAAAGAAAAAGGGUAAUACAAGGAAGGUUUGAUGACAUAGUCAAUCAACAGAUGAGGCUGAUUGUGCUUCUCCACUUUGACCAGCAAAUAACGUAAUCAACUGACCUCCACAAGCUUGCAGCUGGUGCACCAUUUUAUCCAGAUUUAUUAGCAUUUGCAAUGUCCACAUUCUGUAUUUCAUCAAGAGCAGUAUAUGGAUGAACACAUAUUACGCCUCUUUAUUCAGCAAGUCUCCUGGUUCGUACUGCCACUGCACUGUAUCAACUAAGUAGAGUUUGUAUCCGUGUCUUUUGCAGCUGCCUCUUCCUGAAGCUUCUUUUUCCAGUACUCAUCAAGUGGGGGACCAAAUAUUGCUUUUCCAGAGACAACUCCAAUCCUGCAAUAUCCACAUAUAAUUACUUCCAAAGCCUAGAAAAUAAGUCGUUGCAAAAUCCAGGUGAAGGGCUCCGCAACAUUUAGAACUUCCAGCUGGAAGAUUGCCUAAAAUGUAGUGGUACAAAAGGUUAAAGAAAAACUUAUGCAGAAGAAUAUAAUUAUAGAACAAGAUUGUUUUAUUUUUCCA
Long non-coding RNA from Ricinus communis (castor bean), 1544 nucleotides. RefSeq lists it as uncharacterized. NCBI's taxonomy places the organism in Eukaryota, Viridiplantae, Streptophyta, Magnoliopsida, Malpighiales, Euphorbiaceae. The transcript has 2 exons. The record is from RefSeq and is a predicted model, not a curated record.